This 473-nucleotide ribosomal RNA is filed under the name uncultured organism. Its description in RNAcentral is "partial 16S ribosomal RNA". It matches the Rfam family "Bacterial small subunit ribosomal RNA", at positions 334 to 798 of the family's 1533-position model. The record is from RNAcentral.
CACUCCUGCGGGAGGCAGCAGUGGGGAAUAUUGCACCAUGGGCGCAAGCCUGAUGCAGCCAUGCCGCGUGUAUGAAGAAGGCCUUCGGGUUGUAAAGUACUUUCAGCGGGGAGGAAGGCGAUAAGGUUAAUAACCUUGUUGAUUGACGUUACCCGCAGAAGAAGCACCGGCUAACUCCGUGCCAGCAGCCGCGGUAAUACGGAGGGUGCAAGCGUUAAUCGGAAUUACUGGGCGUAAAGCGCACGCAGGCGGUCUGUCAAGUCGGAUGUGAAAUCCCCGGGCUCAACCUGGGAACUGCAUUCGAAACUGGCAGGCUAGAGUCUUGUAGAGGGGGGUAGAAUUCCAGGUGUAGCGGUGAAAUGCGUAGAGAUCUGGAGGAAUACCGGUGGCGAAGGCGGCCCCCUGGACAAAGACUGACGCUCAGGUGCGAAAGCGUGGGGAGCAAACAGGAUUAGAUACCCCGGUAGUCCCAU